GCGGAUGUAGCCAAGUGGAUUAAGGCAGUGGAUUGU
Molecule: transfer RNA, 36 nt
Filed under: Aquilaria sinensis
Lineage: Eukaryota; Viridiplantae; Streptophyta; Magnoliopsida; Malvales; Thymelaeaceae
Description: partial tRNA-His
Source: RNAcentral